Molecule: ribosomal RNA, 750 nt
Filed under: uncultured bacterium
Lineage: Bacteria
Description: bacterial SSU rRNA
Rfam family: Bacterial small subunit ribosomal RNA
Source: RNAcentral
AGCGAGAAAGUCCCUUUCGGGGGGCGAGUACAGCGGCGCACGGGUGAGUAACGCGUGGGUAACCCACCCAGGAGUGGGGUAUAACUCGCCGAAAGGCGGGCUAAUCCCGCAUACGUCCCGCAAACACAUGUCUGUUGGAGAAAGAUGGCCUCUACUUGUAAGCUAUUGCUCUUGGACGGGCCCGCGUUAGAUUAGCUAGUUGGUGAGGUAAAGGCUCACCAAGGCUACGAUCUAUAGCUGGUUUGAGAGGACGACCAGCCACACUGGAACUGAGACACGGUCCAGACUCCUUCGGGAGGCAGCAGUGGGGAAUAUUGCGCAAUGGGGGAAACCCUGACGCAGCGACGCCGUGUGAGUGAUGAAGGCUUUCGGGUCGUAAAGCUCUGUCGGAUGGGACGAAUAAGGGCUGUGUGAAUAAUGCAGUCUGAUGACGGUACCGUCGAAGGAAGCACCGGCUAACUCCGUGCCAGCAGCCGCGGUAAUACGGAGGGUGCAAGCGUUGUUCGGAAUUAUUGGGCGUAAAGCACGUGUAGGCGGGUUUGUGUGUCAGAUGUGAAAGCCCUUGGCUCAACUGAGGAAGUGCAUCUGAAACUGCAAGUCUUGAGUACGAGAGAGGAGAGUGGAAUUCCCAGUGUAGAGGUGAAAUUCAUAGAUAUUGGGAAGAACACCAGUGGCGAAAGCGGCUCUCUGGCUCGAUACUGACGCUGAGACGUGAAAGCGUGGGGAGCAAACAGGAUUAGAUACCCUGGU